Molecule: transfer RNA, 70 nt
Filed under: Ornithorhynchus anatinus (platypus)
Lineage: Eukaryota; Metazoa; Chordata; Mammalia; Monotremata; Ornithorhynchidae
Rfam family: tRNA
About the family: Transfer RNA (tRNA) molecules are approximately 80 nucleotides in length. Their secondary structure includes four short double-helical elements and three loops (D, anti-codon, and T loops). Further hydrogen bonds mediate the characteristic L-shaped molecular structure. tRNAs have two regions of fundamental functional importance: the anti-codon, which is responsible for specific mRNA codon recognition, and the 3' end, to which the tRNAs corresponding amino acid is attached (by aminoacyl-tRNA synthetases). tRNAs cope with the degeneracy of the genetic code in two manners: having more than one tRNA (with a specific anti-codon) for a particular amino acid; and 'wobble' base-pairing, i.e. permitting non-standard base-pairing at the 3rd anti-codon position.
Source: Rfam by way of RNAcentral
AGCAGUGUGGCUCAGUGGAAAGAGCACGGGCUUGAGUGAGAGGUCAUGGGUUCGAAUCCCAGCUCCGCUA